RNAcentral lists this unclassified non-coding RNA (202 nucleotides) under plant metagenome. RNAcentral's name for it is "partial contains small subunit ribosomal RNA and internal transcribed spacer 1". The stretch from base 1 to 46 matches the Rfam family "Eukaryotic small subunit ribosomal RNA", at positions 1786 to 1831 of the family's 1831-position model. The record is from RNAcentral.
AAGUCGUAACAAGGUUUCCGUAGGUGAACCUGCGGAAGGAUCAUUAGUGAAUAAAUAGGGUGUCCAAUUUAACUUGGAACCCGACCUUCUCACAUCUAACCCUGUGCAUCUGUAUUUAAUGGCGAGCAAUUUUCGGGAUUGUGAGCCAUUUCACUUUAUAAACACUAGUCUAUGAAUGUAAAAUUUUUAUAACAAAUAAAAA